AAGAUUUCUUGUCCCAUAUUCAGAAAACACCCAAAGACAAAGGCUGAUAUAAGACAAAGUAUUGACUAUAAAAGUGUACUUCAACAAAUGACAACAGUGAGAAAGAAUGUCUGUUCUAUACACAUAUGCUUCAUCAAAGAAAUUUAACCUGCAUAAAAAGGCCAGAAGACAGCUCCGGUACACACCAAGCAAGGACUUCCUUGGAUGGUUGAUAGUGUUUUUUACCUGGCUGGAUAAAAGAAGGAUGGAAGGCAGAAAUCUAUGAGAAGUUCAUGGAAGAAUUGGACAUAAGCCAGAAUUCUG
This 303-nucleotide long non-coding RNA is filed under the name Gallus gallus (chicken). The record is from RNAcentral. Lineage: Eukaryota; Metazoa; Chordata; Aves; Galliformes; Phasianidae.